UAUGACCUACGGGAGGCAGCAGUAGGGAAUCUUCCACAAUGGGCGCAAGCCUGAUGGAGCAACACCGCGUGAGUGAAGAAGGGUUUCGGCUCGUAAAGCUCUGUUGUUGGAGAAGAACGUGCGUGAGAGGAACUGUUCACGCAGUGACGGGAUCCAACCAGAAAGUCACGGCUAACUACGUGCCAGCAGCCGCGGGAAUACGUAGGUGGCAAGCGUUAUCCGGAUUUAUUGGG
This 233-nucleotide ribosomal RNA is filed under the name uncultured bacterium. RNAcentral's name for it is "partial 16S ribosomal RNA". It matches the Rfam family "Bacterial small subunit ribosomal RNA", at positions 333 to 558 of the family's 1533-position model. The record is from RNAcentral.